GCGGUCGUGGCGGAAUUGGUAUACGCGCUACCUUGAGGUGGUAGUGGGGGAAACCCCGUGGAGGUUCAAGUCCUCUCGACCGCACCA
RNAcentral lists this transfer RNA (87 nucleotides) under Hyphomicrobium sp. RNAcentral's name for it is "tRNA-Leu". It matches the Rfam family "tRNA". Rfam says of the family: Transfer RNA (tRNA) molecules are approximately 80 nucleotides in length. Their secondary structure includes four short double-helical elements and three loops (D, anti-codon, and T loops). Further hydrogen bonds mediate the characteristic L-shaped molecular structure. tRNAs have two regions of fundamental functional importance: the anti-codon, which is responsible for specific mRNA codon recognition, and the 3' end, to which the tRNAs corresponding amino acid is attached (by aminoacyl-tRNA synthetases). tRNAs cope with the degeneracy of the genetic code in two manners: having more than one tRNA (with a specific anti-codon) for a particular amino acid; and 'wobble' base-pairing, i.e. permitting non-standard base-pairing at the 3rd anti-codon position. The record is from RNAcentral. RNAcentral also lists the same sequence under 2 other names. Lineage: Bacteria; Pseudomonadati; Pseudomonadota; Alphaproteobacteria; Hyphomicrobiales; Hyphomicrobiaceae.